Molecule: ribosomal RNA, 253 nt
Filed under: uncultured bacterium
Lineage: Bacteria
Description: partial 16S ribosomal RNA
Rfam family: Bacterial small subunit ribosomal RNA
Source: RNAcentral
UACGAAGGGGGCUAGCGUUGUUCGGAAUCACUGGGCGUAAAGGGUGCGCAGGCGGAUUUGUAAGUCAGAGGUGAAAGCCUGGAGCUCAACUCCAGAACUGCCUUUGAGACUGCAUCGCUCGAAUCCGGGAGAGGUGAGUGGAAUUCCGAGUGUAGAGGUGAAAUUCGUAGAUAUUCGGAAGAACACCAGUGGUGAAGGCGGCUCACUGGACCGGUAUUGACGCUGAGGUGCGAAAGCGUGGGGAGCAAACAGG